Molecule: ribosomal RNA, 308 nt
Filed under: Paenibacillus polymyxa
Lineage: Bacteria; Bacillati; Bacillota; Bacilli; Caryophanales; Paenibacillaceae
Description: partial 23S ribosomal RNA
Rfam family: Bacterial large subunit ribosomal RNA
Source: RNAcentral
UGAGACAGUUCGGUCCCUAUCUGCCGUGGGCGCUGGAGAACUGAGGGGGGCUGCUCCUAGUACGAGAGGACCGGAGUGGACGCAUCACUGGUGUUCGGGUUGUCAUGCCAAUGGCACUGCCCGGUAGCUAAAUGCGGAAGAGAUAAGUGCUGAAAGCAUCUAAGCACGAAACUUGCCCCGAGAUGAGUUCUCCCUGACUCCUUGAGAGUCCUGAAGGAACGUUGAAGACGACGACGUUGAUAGGCCGGGUGUGUAAGCGCAGCGAUGCGUUGAGCUAACCGGUACUAAUGAACCGUGAGGCUUAACCU